GAGUGCUACAGCCCUUUUAAAAUUUGUCUAGCAAGUUUUCCAGUUUUCACUGGAACCUCCA
Cercocebus atys (sooty mangabey) is the source of this 61-nucleotide small nuclear RNA. Its record names the gene U7. It matches the Rfam family "U7 small nuclear RNA". Rfam says of the family: Animal histone pre-mRNAs are spliced by a different mechanism than nuclear pre-mRNAs and self-splicing introns. This processing involves the U7 snRNP, which contains only one RNA species: U7. NCBI's taxonomy places the organism in Eukaryota, Metazoa, Chordata, Mammalia, Primates, Cercopithecidae. The record is from Ensembl.